This 65-nucleotide transfer RNA is filed under the name Amynthas yunoshimensis. RNAcentral describes it as "tRNA-Leu". Lineage: Eukaryota; Metazoa; Annelida; Clitellata; Crassiclitellata; Megascolecidae. The record is from RNAcentral.
ACUCAACAAGAUGGCAGAAUAGUGCCACAGGUUUAAACCCUGUUUAUGAGUAAACUCUCUUGUUA